Molecule: ribosomal RNA, 153 nt
Filed under: Diutina rugosa
Lineage: Eukaryota; Fungi; Ascomycota; Pichiomycetes; Serinales; Debaryomycetaceae
Description: 5.8S ribosomal RNA
Rfam family: 5.8S ribosomal RNA
About the family: 5.8S ribosomal RNA (5.8S rRNA) is a component of the large subunit of the eukaryotic ribosome. It is transcribed by RNA polymerase I as part of the 45S precursor that also contains 18S and 28S rRNA. Functionally, it is thought that 5.8S rRNA may be involved in ribosome translocation.
Source: RNAcentral
AAACUUUCAACAACGGAUCUCUAGGUUCUCGCAUCGAUGAAGAACGCAGCGAAAUGCGAUACGUAGUACGAAACGCAAGUCGUGAAUCAUCGAAUCUUUGAACGCACAUUGCGCUGUGUGGCAUUCCACACAGCAUGCCUGUUUGAGCAAUAU